RNAcentral lists this transfer RNA (73 nucleotides) under Cotesia glomerata. RNAcentral's name for it is "tRNA-Thr". The record is from RNAcentral. Lineage: Eukaryota; Metazoa; Arthropoda; Insecta; Hymenoptera; Braconidae.
UCGGAUAGCUUAACUGGUAGAGCCCUUGGCGCGUAAUCGAGAGAUCUGGGUUCGAUUCCCACACGCAUAAAAA